This 460-nucleotide ribosomal RNA is filed under the name uncultured bacterium. RNAcentral's name for it is "partial 16S ribosomal RNA". It matches the Rfam family "Bacterial small subunit ribosomal RNA", at positions 338 to 795 of the family's 1533-position model. The record is from RNAcentral.
CCUACGGGAGGCAGCAGUGAGGAAUAUUGGUCAAUGGGCGCGAGCCUGAACCAGCCAAGCCGCGUGAGGGAAGACUGCCCUACGGGUUGUAAACCUCUUUUAUAAGGGAAUAAAGUGAGGCACGUGUGCCUGUUUGUAUGUACCUGAUGAAUAAGCAUCGGCUAACUCCGUGCCAGCAGCCGCGGUAAUACGGAGGAUGCGAUCGUUAUCCGGAUUUAUUGGGUUUAAAGGGAGCGUAGAUGGGCUGUUAAGUCAGUUGUGAAAGGUUGCGGCUCAACCGUCGAAUUGCCAUUGAUACUGGCAGUCUUGAGUGCAGUUGAGGUAGGCGGAAUGCGUGGUGUAGCGGUGAAAUGCUUAGAGAUCACGCAGAACUCCGAUUGCGAAGGCAGCUUACUAAGCUGCCACUGACGUUGAGGCUCGAAAGUGUGGGUAUCAAACAGGAUUAGAUACCCCAGUAGUC